AGCGUACACGGUGGAUGCCCUGGCAGUCAGAGGCGAUGAAGGACGUGCUAAUCUGCGAUAAGCGUCGGUAAGGUGAUAUGAACCGUUAUAACCGGCGAUUUCCGAAUGGGGAAACCCAGUGUGAUUCGUCACACUAUCAUUAACUGAAUCCAUAGGUUAAUGAGGCGAACCGGGGGAACUGAAACAUCUAAGUACCCCGAGGAAAAGAAAUCAACCGAGAUUCCCCCAGUAGCGGCGAGCGAACGGGGAGCAGCCCAGAGCCUGAAUCAGUGUGUGUGUUAGUGGAAGCGUCUGGAAAGGCGCGCGAUACAGGGUGACAGCCCCGUACACAAAAAUGCACAUAUUGUGAGCUCGAUGAGUAGGGCGGGACACGUGGUAUCCUGUCUGAAUAUGGGGGGACCAUCCUCCAAGGCUAAAUACUCCUGACUGACCGAUAGUGAACCAGUACCGUGAGGGAAAGGCGAAAAGAACCCCGGCGAGGGGAGUGAAAAAGAACCUGAAACCGUGUACGUACAAGCAGUGGGAGCACGCUUAGGCGUGUGACUGCGUACCUUUUGUAUAAUGGGUCAGCGACUUAUAUUCUGUAGCAAGGUUAACCGAAUAGGGGAGCCGAAGGGAAACCGAGUCUUAACUGGGCGUUAAGUUGCAGGGUAUAGACCCGAAACCUGGUGAUCUAGCCAUGGGCAGGUUGAAGGUUGGGUAACACUAACUGGAGGACCGAACCGACUAAUGUUGAAAAAUUAGCGGAUGACUUGUGGCUGGGGGUGAAAGGCCAAUCAAACCGGGAGAUAGCUGGUUCUCCCCGAAAGCUAUUUAGGUAGCGCCUCGUGAACUCAUCUCCGGGGGUAGAGCACUGUUUCGGCAAGGGGGUCAUCCCGACUUACCAACCCGAUGCAAACUGCGAAUACCGGAGAAUGUUAUCACGGGAGACACACGGCGGGUGCUAACGUCCGUCGUGAAGAGGGAAACAACCCAGACCGCCAGCUAAGGUCCCAAAGUCAUGGUUAAGUGGGAAACGAUGUGGGAAGGCCCAGACAGCCAGGAUGUUGGCUUAGAAGCAGCCAUCAUUUAAAGAAAGCGUAAUAGCUCACUGGUCGAGUCGGCCUGCGCGGAAGAUGUAACGGGGCUAAACCAUGCACCGAAGCUGCGGCAGCGACGCUUAUGCGUUGUUGGGUAGGGGAGCGUUCUGUAAGCCUGUGAAGGUGUACUGUGAGGUAUGCUGGAGGUAUCAGAAGUGCGAAUGCUGACAUAAGUAACGAUAAAGCGGGUGAAAAGCCCGCUCGCCGGAAGACCAAGGGUUCCUGUCCAACGUUAAUCGGGGCAGGGUGAGUCGACCCCUAAGGCGAGGCCGAAAGGCGUAGUCGAUGGGAAACAGGUUAAUAUUCCUGUACUUGGUGUUACUGCGAAGGGGGGACGGAGAAGGCUAUGUUGGCCGGGCGACGGUUGUCCCGGUUUAAGCGUGUAGGCUGGUUUUCCAGGCAAAUCCGGAAAAUCAAGGCUGAGGCGUGAUGACGAGGCACUACGGUGCUGAAGCAACAAAUGCCCUGCUUCCAGGAAAAGCCUCUAAGCAUCAGGUAACAUCAAAUCGUACCCCAAACCGACACAGGUGGUCAGGUAGAGAAUACCAAGGCGCUUGAGAGAACUCGGGUGAAGGAACUAGGCAAAAUGGUGCCGUAACUUCGGGAGAAGGCACGCUGAUAUGUAGGUGAAGUCCCUCGCGGAUGGAGCUGAAAUCAGUCGAAGAUACCAGCUGGCUGCAACUGUUUAUUAAAAACACAGCACUGUGCAAACACGAAAGUGGACGUAUACGGUGUGACGCCUGCCCGGUGCCGGAAGGUUAAUUGAUGGGGUCAGCGCAAGCGAAGCUCUUGAUCGAAGCCCCGGUAAACGGCGGCCGUAACUAUAACGGUCCUAAGGUAGCGAAAUUCCUUGUCGGGUAAGUUCCGACCUGCACGAAUGGCGUAAUGAUGGCCAGGCUGUCUCCACCCGAGACUCAGUGAAAUUGAACUCGCUGUGAAGAUGCAGUGUACCCGCGGCAAGACGGAAAGACCCCGUGAACCUUUACUAUAGCUUGACACUGAACAUUGAGCCUUGAUGUGUAGGAUAGGUGGGAGGCUUUGAAGUGUGGACGCCAGUCUGCAUGGAGCCGACCUUGAAAUACCACCCUUUAAUGUUUGAUGUUCUAACGUUGACCCGUAAUCCGGGUUGCGGACAGUGUCUGGUGGGUAGUUUGACUGGGGCGGUCUCCUCCUAAAGAGUAACGGAGGAGCACGAAGGUUGGCUAAUCCUGGUCGGACAUCAGGAGGUUAGUGCAAUGGCAUAAGCCAGCUUGACUGCGAGCGUGACGGCGCGAGCAGGUGCGAAAGCAGGUCAUAGUGAUCCGGUGGUUCUGAAUGGAAGGGCCAUCGCUCAACGGAUAAAAGGUACUCCGGGGAUAACAGGCUGAUACCGCCCAAGAGUUCAUAUCGACGGCGGUGUUUGGCACCUCGAUGUCGGCUCAUCACAUCCUGGGGCUGAAGUAGGUCCCAAGGGUAUGGCUGUUCGCCAUUUAAAGUGGUACGCGAGCUGGGUUUAGAACGUCGUGAGACAGUUCGGUCCCUAUCUGCCGUGGGCGCUGGAGAACUGAGGGGGGCUGCUCCUAGUACGAGAGGACCGGAGUGGACGCAUCACUGGUGUUCGGGUUGUCAUGMCAAUGGCACUGCCCGGUAGCUAAAUGCGGAAGAGAUAAGUGCUGAAAGCAUCUAAGCACGAAACUUGCCCCGAGAUGAGUUCUCCCUGACUCCUUGA
This 2787-nucleotide ribosomal RNA is filed under the name Escherichia coli. RNAcentral describes it as "bacterial LSU rRNA". The record is from RNAcentral. Lineage: Bacteria; Pseudomonadati; Pseudomonadota; Gammaproteobacteria; Enterobacterales; Enterobacteriaceae.